UGUAAGCGUAUACCAAAGUUGUUGCAGUUAAAACGCUCGUAGUCGGAAUUUGGCAGUUCCGGAUGUGUGCACGUCGUGUGCGCACUUUGCGGGGAUUGCUUUUGUGGUCUUGCGUAGGAUGAGGCACUUUUAUUAGUGAACGUCCUCACGCAACCACUUUUUACUGUGAGAAAAUCAGAGUGCUCAAAGCAGGCAUUUGCCGUGAAUGUAUUAGCAUGGAAUAAUAGAAUAGGACUCGGUUCUAUUUUGUUGGUUUGUUGGGACUGAGUAAUGGUUAAGAGGGACAGUUGGGGGCAUUUGUAUUUCGGUGCUAGAGGUGAAAUUCUUAGAUUACCGAAAGACAAACUGCUGCGAAAGCGUCUGCCAAGGAUGUUUUCAUUGA
RNAcentral lists this ribosomal RNA (382 nucleotides) under uncultured eukaryote. Its description in RNAcentral is "partial 18S ribosomal RNA". It matches the Rfam family "Eukaryotic small subunit ribosomal RNA", at positions 592 to 976 of the family's 1831-position model. The record is from RNAcentral.